This 820-nucleotide ribosomal RNA is filed under the name uncultured Geobacter sp. Its description in RNAcentral is "bacterial SSU rRNA". It matches the Rfam family "Bacterial small subunit ribosomal RNA", at positions 40 to 834 of the family's 1533-position model. Lineage: Bacteria; Pseudomonadati; Thermodesulfobacteriota; Desulfuromonadia; Geobacterales; Geobacteraceae. The record is from RNAcentral.
CAAGGAGCAUGCUACCAUGCAAGUCGUACGAGAAAUCCUGGGCAACUGGGAGAGUAAAGUGGCGCACGGGUGAGUAACGCGUGGGUAACCUACCCUUGAAUUGGGGAUAACUCUUCGAAAGGGGAGUUAAUACCGAAUAAUAUUCCAAUUCCUACGGGAGUUGAGAUCAAAGGUGGCCUCUGCAUGCAAGCUAUCGUUUAAGGGUGGGCCCGCGUACCAUUAGCUAGUUGGUAGGGUAAUAGCCUACCAAGGCAACGAUGGUUAGCUGGUCUGAGAGGAUGGCCAGCCACACUGGAACUGAGACACGGUCCAGACUCCUACGGGAGGCAGCAGUGGGGAAUCUUGCGCAAUGGGGGAAACCCUGACGCAGCAACGCCGCGUGGGUGAUGAAGGCCUUCGGGUCGUAAAGCCCUGUCAGGUGGGAAGAAACUUGCAGAUGUUAAUACCAUCCGCACUUGACGGUACCACCGGAGGAAGCACCGGCUAACUCCGUGCCAGCAGCCGCGGUAAUACGGAGGGUGCAAGCGUUGUUCGGAAUUAUUGGGCGUAAAGCGCGUGUAGGUGGUCGGGUAAGUCAGAUGUGAAAGCCUUCUGCUUAACAGAAGAAGUGCAUUUGAAACUGCUCGGCUAGAGUACGGGAGAGGAGAGUGGAAUUCCCGGUGUAGAGGUGAAAUUCGUAGAGAUCGGGAGGAACACCAGUGGCGAAGGCGGCUCUCUGGUCCGAUACUGACGCUGAGACGCGAAAGCGUGGGGAGCAAACACGAUUAGAUACCCUGGUAGUCCACGCCGUAAACGAUGGGCACUAGUGUAGGAGGUAUUG